Molecule: RNA transcript, 2221 nt
Organism: Sphaeramia orbicularis (orbiculate cardinalfish)
Lineage: Eukaryota; Metazoa; Chordata; Actinopteri; Kurtiformes; Apogonidae
Gene name: histamine N-methyltransferase A-like
Exons: 7
Source: RefSeq, a predicted model, not a curated record
CUGCAGAUAAAAGCCUUCAAACCAACAGCAGCGUCUCUAAAACAGGCUGUUCUUCAUCCACUCCGGUCUUCUCUGUUCCUUUGAGUUGUGGUUCUGUGCAGGACGUGGUCAUGGCUGCAGAAGUGAAGCAGACCUGCUACGAGGGCAGCUGCGUCCAGAGCUUCCAGUUCUACUUGGAACAUUCAGGAGAACACCAGGCCAUUGUGCAGUUCGCUCAUGACAUCCUGCCCGGAGAAUUAAAAAGAAUUGGAGCAGGUAAAAGCAGCCUGGAUGUACUGGGAGUGGGCAGUGGAGGAGGGCAGGUGGACGUGCAGAUGCUCACCCUCCUGCAGUCGGCCUUCCCUUCUGUUCCUGUUACUGCAGACAUCGUGGAGGGCAGCGGUCCACUCACAGACGGAUUCAAAGCACUGAUCGCCAAAACCCCCAACCUUCAGAAGAUCCCAUUUUCUUUCCAUAUCAUGAAAAGUGAAGAGUAUGAGACUCAAGUGAAAGCAAAAGGAGACGCGAAGAAGUUCGACUUCAUUCACAUGAUUCAGAUGAUCUACUAUGUGGAGGACCUUGCUGGAUCCAUUAAGUUCUUCCACAGCCUUUUGAAGGCCAACGGCAGGUUGAUGAUCAUCGUCGAAGCAGCCAACGGAGGCUGGGACAUCCUGUGGAAGACGUACGCCAAAGAGCUGUGCACCGGCGCCAUCACAGAUUACCGCUCAUCAGCACAGGUUGUGGAGUGUGUGAAGAGUCUGGGCCUAAAAUACGAGGAACACGUCAUCUCCCACAGCUUCGACAUCUCUGAAUGUUUCAGUCCCAGCAGCGACACCGGAGCUCGGCUGCUGAACUUCAUGACGGCGCAGGAGAACUUCCAACAGUCGUUCAGCCCAGAGGUUAGAGCAGGAAUAUUAGAGCUCCUGAAGAACAAGUGCAGCGUUCAAAAAGAUGACAAGAUUCUGUUCAACGGCAGCCUGGUCGCUAUACUCAUUCAUGCCUGAGCAAGUGUCUGGAAAAUAUGAGCAUGAAUUCAAUGUUUUCUUCUUUCAUUCAAUCAAAAGCACAGUUUUACAGAUGCAAAGCUUACGUCACAGAUAUGUGAUACAUGUAUGUCUUUAAACCAUUUAACAGAGCAGUUCACUGUAAGUUUAAUACAAUAAAAUCAGUUCCUAUCAGAUUCAAAUUAAUCACAGAUGGUUCCUGACUUACUAAACUUACCCAAACCCUGAGUCCACAGAACGUUUAAUGGAUUUUAUGGACCUUUUUUCAAACGUGUGCAGCUAUGGCCUUACCUUCAACACUGCAGAGAUGAAUAUGAAGCACUUUAUAUUUUAGCGACCAAAAUACUGAAAUGAUACAAAGGAGAUUUUCAGUAAUAAAUGACCAAAAUUUUUUUUUAUUUUUUUUUUUUACAAAAUGACAUAUUUCCAAGUCUAAUCCCAUGACACAUUUAUUUGGCUUCCAUCUCCCAAAAGUACACUCACACAUUUGGGUUCAGAACUUUCAUCACAGAGUUUGACAAACACCAGAUCAGUUCAGUAGAACAGACAGGAGCAGGUUAGACCCAGUCCCAGUCCUAGUCCUGGUCCCGGUCCUAGUCCUUGUCCUGGUCCCGGUCCCAGUCCUAGUCCCGGUCCCAGUCCCGGUCCCAGUCCCAGUUCUAGUCCUGGUCCCAGUCCUAGUCCCGGUCCCAGUCCUAGUCCCGGUCCCAGUCCUAGUCCCGGUCCCGGUCCUAGUCCUGGUCCCAGUCCCAGUCCUAGUCCUAGUCCUGGUCCCGGUCCCAGUCCUAGUCCUGGUCCCAGUCCCGGUCCCGGUCCUAGUCCCGGUCCUAGUCCCGGUCCUAGUCCUGGUCCCAGUCCCAGUCCUAGUCCUGGUCCCGGUCCCAGUCCUAGUCCUGGUCCCAGUCCCGGUCCCGGUCCUAGUCCCGGUCCCAGUCCCAGUCCCAGUCCCAGUCCUGCAUGGACAUGUGCAUCGCUCUGAGCCUCCUCAGGUUCAAAUAAAGCUGAAUUCACUUGUUUCUGAGCCUUGGUUUUUAUUUCUGUUUUUCUACUUCUGUACUCCACGGUGACAAACAGAUCUGUGGGUGAAUCUGAUUCAUUCUGUCUGUUAUUAUGAAACAGAACUAGUUUAGAGUCACAUUAACCCAGAAAGACCCAGGUUGACUUUUGUGUCGGUUCCCAAAUUAAUUUUUCUCUAUCCAACUAUUCCCAAAUGAUUUAUCACAGUUUUAUUCUAAUAU